RNAcentral lists this ribosomal RNA (873 nucleotides) under uncultured organism. Its description in RNAcentral is "bacterial SSU rRNA". It matches the Rfam family "Bacterial small subunit ribosomal RNA", at positions 25 to 896 of the family's 1533-position model. The record is from RNAcentral.
CAGGAUGAACGCUAGCGGCAGGCCUAACACAUGCAAGUCGAACGGUAACAUGAGAGCUUGCUCUUGAUGACGAGUGGCGCACGGGUGCGUAACACGUAUGUAACCUACCUUUAACUGGGGAAUAGCCCGAAGAAAUUCGGAUUAAUACCCCAUAAUAAUAGAAAUUCGCAUGUUUUUCUAUUUAAAACUCCGGUGGUUAAAGAUGGGCAUGCGUCCUAUUAGUUAGUUGGUGAGGUAACGGCUCACCAAGACUUCGAUAGGUAGGGGUUCUGAGAGGAAGAUCCCCCACACUGGUACUGAGACACGGACCAGACUCCUACGGGAGGCAGCAGUGAGGAAUAUUGGACAAUGGACGAAAGUCUGAUCCAGCCAUGCCGCGUGUAGGAAGACUGCCCUCUGGGUUGUAAACUACUUUUAUAAGGGAAUAAACCCCCGUACGUGUACGGGGCUGAAUGUACCUUAAGAAUAAGCACCGGCUAACUCCGUGCCAGCAGCCGCGGUAAUACGGAGGGUGCAAGCGUUAUCCGGAUUUAUUGGGUUUAAAGGGUCCGUAGGUGGAAUUGUAAGUCAGUGGUGAAAUCUUUCGGCUUAACCGGAAAACUGCCAUUGAUACUGCAGUUCUUGAGUAUGCUCGAAGUAGGCGGAAUAUGUCAUGUAGCGGUGAAAUGCAUAGAUAUGACAUAGAACACCAAUAGCGAAGGCAGCUUACUAGAUCAUAACUGACACUGAGGGACGAAAGCGUGGGGAGCGAACACGAUUAGAAACCCUGGUAGUCCACGCCGUAAACGAUGAUCACUAGACAUUGGCGACAUACUGUCGGUGUCAAAGCGAAAGUAUUAAGUGAUCCACCUGGGGAGUACGCUCGCAAGAGUG